Long non-coding RNA from Gallus gallus (chicken), 13392 nucleotides. RefSeq lists it as uncharacterized. Lineage: Eukaryota; Metazoa; Chordata; Aves; Galliformes; Phasianidae. The record is from RefSeq and is a predicted model, not a curated record. The transcript has 7 exons.
GGUCGCUGCGCGCGCUCGGCCCCGCUGAGGAGAGGAGCGCGGGGCAGGGCGGCGCGAGGCGGCGCGAAGGGGUGGGGCGCGUUGCCGGGGAGCGCCGUACACAGAUCCCAAACAGCGCCGGGACACGGGGUGCGGAGCUCCGUCACGAGGCGCUCCGCCCCGCCGGUCGCGGGAGGCCUCGAGGAGCGAGCGCCCGAGCGAGGGAACGCGGCGCGGCCGGGCGAGCCCCGCGCCCCGGAGGCAGCGGGCUGCGAUGCGGAGGCAGCGGCGGGAGGCGCCGGGCCAGCCGGGACGGAGCUCCUUACAUAAGCGAGGAGUGCCCGUGUCCCGCUCCCCGAUCUUGUACACGCCCCGGGCUUUCGAAACUGUCCCCGCGCGGCUGCGGGACGCAGAGCGCGGCGCGGGUGGGAGCGGAGCGGUGCUGCCUUCCUCCUGCAGUUAGCGACCGCUGGAAUCGCCACAGAAAGGUGUAACACAAAGAGACUCUGAGGCGUUCAAGGCUUUUCCCAGACAAGAUGCCUUCUCAGCCAAAAUUUGAAGUCCUGAUGGAAAGGGGAGGAGGAUGAAAUACCUUACCUGCCAAAAUUCUUUCUGAAGGGUAGCAGGAAACUCACAUUCUCUCAAUGCACAUCUUCAGCAAAAAGUGUGCACAGCCAGUACACAAAUAAUGGGAGAUAGAUCUAUCUGAAAAAGGCCUCAGGAAGUCAUCUUUGCCAUUACCUUAUCUCCAGGUAGGACUGACCUCUACUUCAGAUUUGAAACAGGUUUGUCUGUCUCAAUCAUGUCUGUUGUUUUUGUUGUUGUUUAUUUGUUUGCUUUUCCUGAAAGACAUUUGCAUCAGAUGUUUUGAUGGUUUCUUUUUUCUAACUCAAGCAAAGCUUAUAGCAACAGACACUGCCAUCAAUCUUUACAAGUACAUUUUGUAAUACUUAGUUUCAGGACCCAUAAGUGAGGGCCAACCAAAGCACAUCUGUAGCAGAGACUGAAUCAACUGUAGAAUAAACAUAGACUAUGUAGAAUAAAAACAGCUGUAUGAAAAAUUUUAGUGCCUGCACGUAUUUGACAACUGCCAUGAAAUUCAGAGCUGUUCUCUCCAUUUUAAGUUGUUACACUCUGGGAUACUUGGUUAUUGGUAGAUAUUCUGAGAAUGCCUUCAUUUCAGAAGUUUGUAGUAUCAUUUUGUACUUUCAAUUUGUUCGUUUGUUUUUUAAGAACUUCAGCUCAGACUUCAAUCUCUGAACAUGCCAUUUUAUGUCUGGAACUAACUACAAAUAUUAUUUACCUACCCACCUGAAUGUAUGUGCAGACAGUUCAGAGACUUUUCUUGAACACAGUAAGAUUAUUAUUCUCCUACCUUUGUAAAUAAAAAGUGGCUAAUUUGGCACAGGCAUUUUACUUGGGAAAAAUGCCUUGAUGAAUUGCAUAAUCUGAAGAGCUGUCUAAUCAUGCAAAUUCAGAGCAUUCUGUCAAAUGAAUAUGCCUGAAUCACACACACUGAGUUUAACUCAUACUGAAAAAAUGAUAGCAAUUGCAGUGGUCUGUCAUCAUUUUAAGAAAGUAAUUAUAGUAAAAUAUUACUGUCACAACUCCACAUUAUAUCAGGCCAUGUCCAAAGGGCUUCUAAUAGUAGGGUAUAACUCCUUCUUACCGUUAUAGAUGUCUUCUGGUGCAAUUGUCAAUGUUCAAGAAUAAAGAAUGCUUUUGCUUAAUUCGUUAAGGAAAAAAAAAGGAACAAAUAAAUAAGACAUUAAACUAUUCUGACUGCCUUGUAUGAAUGAAUGCACUGAGUUGAACAAAAGAAAGCAAACGCAGACCUGUGUCUUCUAACUGUUGCUUUUAUUAGCUUGUCAGUUAUUACCUUGAAGAUAUGAAUUGUGUUCAUUUAGACACUUCUGUUCUACACACCACAGAAUGAAGCACAAGCUUCAGUAACAGGUGCCAAUAAAAAAAAAUCUAUUAGUAAUGGCUUGCUUUAUUUUUAUCCUUUCUAUAUUAGCUUGCCUGGAAAAACAAAUGCAUCAAAGCAGGACAAAUACCCAAUCCACUGGCUUAUUUGUAGAGCAAACUUUCAUGAUAUAUUAUCUUAAUUCUCAAUUUUGUGUAUUCCUGCCAUUUCUGUGGUGAGUGUCUCCAGGGAGUUUUUUUUAAUUGGUACCAAGACUGAAUCUUAUCCCUUCCACUUGUCUAAAACAUCAGCAAUAUUUAGAAUUAUUCCAUUUAUUUCCUAGCUUAUAAUUUCAUUAAUUAAAAAAAAAAAAUCAUUUGCAGACUAUAUUACGAACUGUUCCAUGAGGACUCAAACCAACAAGGCUUGGAUUCAUGUCCAAAAUUGCUACAUUACUCCCCAGUCAAACAAAUACCACCAGCUUACCAUCUUGUGAGACCAGUAGUGUCCCCAGUUCCAACUACAUCCACUGCUCUUCCCCCCCCUUCCACAUCUAGUGAACAUCAGACAGCAGACAGAACAUUUGCUAGUGUGGUGAAGUCUGGACCAUCCCUGCGUAUGGCUGGAGACAGUAAGCAAAAUCUCCUGAGCUUCCCUUAGAGUCUUUCCCUCAGCUGGAAACUGUAAUUUGGGUCUCAUAUCUACCUAGCUACUGAUAUUGCAGCAACAUUUGGGAAUUAGUAUCUAUGAGGUCUUCAACACUCCUCCACAUUUAGCAGAACAGUGAAGAUACAGUCACAUAAGUUGAACUUCCUUGAGAUCACAGGCUUCAUUCAAAAGGCUUGCAUCUAGACACUUCUUUUUCAGCCUCUAGUUUUGCUACUGUUAUUCUAACACAUCAUAGUUCUCUGGUAGACAAAGAGGCUUCAUUUUCAGUAAAAGUAGUACAACAAAUGUGCAAGGCAAUCAUUCAGCUGUCAAAGGACAUAGCUGCUUCUGUUCUUUUCUUCUGCACUGUCACUCAACUGCCCUGAAUGAAAUAAGAACACGAAAACAUGGAGCAUUUUGAAAGUACAACUAAAGGCGUCCAACACAAACGUUUGUGUUGAUUUAACUUUAGAAUAAAAUUCCAAAUAUUUUUUGCCUGAAAAUCUAUAUGUAUGUCCAGUGAAUAACAAUAAUUAGUCCCAAAAUAUUAAGAAAAACCCUCCUGAAGGAGUAUGGUGAAACUUUUCAAUGCUCAGUAAUCAGAGUACUUUGAAUUUUCUUACAAACAUCAGUUCCAAUGGGUUUCUAUCUGCAGAACAAACUCUUACUGUAAAAUAGGAGUUGAAGAACAUUUAACUUCUAGCUGAAAUAAAAUGGAUGACUGAAUAUGAAUGAACUUUCUACGUGCCUACACUACUGACUAACCAUUCUCAUAUUUUCAAUUAGAUGAUAUAUUUUAAGGGGUACUUGGGAUUUAUUUUAUAACAUCCCUUUCAAAAGAGUACGGCAGCGCACAAAGAUUCACUCAUACAGCAGUUAACAUGAUCUGCAACUUAGCAUUUCACAAACACCGGUAAUUUACCAUUUGCCAACUUUAUGCAUACUGUUUUAUAUUCCACUUAUGUUUUUUAUUUUUUUCCAAGUAUUUUAAUAACCCUAGGAAAAAAAAUGAUAGUUUAUGUAUAAAAUUACAAUCUUCAGCUGAAAAAAAUUCCUGUGGCUUCACGGUUAUUUCAAUUUAGAGCAGCUCAAGAUCUGCUUCAGAAUUUAUACAGCAAACAUACCAAUCCUCAAGCACCAUUACAAAGAGGUUUGUUUUUUCUUAGGUCAGGAUAAUUGAUGUGAGAAAAAAAGAUGCUGACAGAACAUACGAUUGUGGAGAGAAAAAGAAUUCUAAACAAAAAAUUGCUUAUCACAUCAUUUCUCUAGUUUAAUUCCCCUCUUUGUUUUCCACUGGAGAGUUUGUGGGAGAACUAGUGAUGCUUCACUUCAUUAUUGUUUACAGAUAGCACCUCAAAAUAAAAAUUUCGUUUCUUUAGGACAGUAGUUCUAAGUUAAUCCAGCAGGAGGUCCACACUGAUCAACUGCACAACAGACUUCCCAGCAAGGAGAACUCUGAAGCUACAGAUGGAUAGUCCGACUGCCUGAGGCCCUCAAGACAACAUUCAGUUUAAUUUCCAUACUUUCAAUUACACAUCAGCCAAAUAUCCAGAAGAUCUGUGACCUGUUUGGGACACCCUUAUUUUAAAGUACAAGUGCACGCAACAGGAACAAUGUCUAACAUGAGCUGGAAGCAUUUAUUUCUACUGCUGCACACGAAGAACCCUGCAUGAAUCAAUACUACAGGACCCUCAAACCAUUAGUCCCUGUGACUCACUGUACAGAGAAAUAUAUGUGAAAAUACAAAAACAAUCUAGGUUCUCUGAUUCUGAGACAUCUGAUCAUAAGAUGGAAAAGCCUGAGAGUACCAGGGGACCAAAAUCUUCCUGCCAGCAUGGAUUUCCAGAGCUCUUUUGGAAAGUAUUUCUAGGGGAACACAGACACUUACCAGCAUGGAAGAGCUGCAGCACUUAGAAAAUUCAUCCUGUCUAUAAUUUCCUCGGGCAAACACUGGGCAUACUCAUUUUUGCAACCCACUGAACUCCCCAUGCAGUGGAUUGGGAUCACAAAGAGAGCUGCACUAAAUUGGUUUGGCUCUGUUGCUCAGUACGAAGGAGUGGCAUGGUAGAGAGGUUUUGCUGAGUUCCAUAAAAUUACGUCCACGGGAGAAGGGCUAAGUACAACUCUCCUAACAGCAGGAGAUAGUCAUGCCACUCCUUUCAGAAAAACUGAACAGAAAUUCUACCUGAACAGAUUCAUUACAAUUAGUAGAAGCAUUUUAAUUCCAAGUACCCCCUCCAGGAUCUUCUCCUUGCUGCUUCGAAGCAGACAUAAUUUUAUUCAUUUAUUUUAGAAAGCCCUAACUGCUGCCCUACGAAUGAGAUCUAGUGAUGCAGUUCUGCCCUGGGGAGAGCCAGGUGCUUUGUUUUGCUGCUUGUCUCACAAAAGUAGUACCCUGAAAUAGAGCACAUUUGUGUUGGAUUAAUGCAAUCAAAGGCACCCUGCUGUCUGGUCACUGACCUAUCUGUAAACAGCAGAUGACAUUAUGCCAUAAGCUUCUGUUAGAUAUAAUUACCUAUUGAGAUGUGACCACUGUAAAAGAAACAAAACCAUGUACCUCACCUGCUGCUGUUAGUUUAUUUUCCAGAACUAAACAAUGCCUAUAAGCACCUCAGAUCUGAGCACCAUUUGUGACUACUCAUCUCCCUUCACUGCUCCUCAUAUCUCUUCCAAGCAGAUUUUUGUCUUCUCCCUUACAUCUGCAACAACCCUCCCAGCUGCACUGGGAUCUAUCAUCUGGCUGCAGCCUGCUGUGUGCUACUGCGAUUGGAGGAGUGGCUGUGGAGAUGUUCCAUUCCUGGAAAACAAGUUUCCUAUGUCCUGCCAGACCUGGAUAGGAAAAAUUGUCAGUAUCAUUUUAAUUUGCUUUUCUUUACCCCUACCGUAAUUCAUAGUUAGUCCUGGAAUCAUAUAAAUAUGACAGUAGUUAUAGAGACACCAAUCUGCUGCUCAAGUAGUCCAGGAAUGAAAGCAGUAUCACUGCAGAUCAGUUUUGACAUCUGUGGUCCAGCAGAUACCACACCUUGCUUUUCUGAGACAGCGUACAGAGGUAACACAGAGGCUCCUGAAGUGUUCUACACUGUUGGGAUCUUCUGUUGUUCAACUGAAGGAAACUUAUUGUCUCCCAGAUCUGCAAGCAGGAUUCCUGUUUUAAAGACCCCCUGAACUACUGGUUAAAGAACUGACCACAUAAAAAUGUAAACCUCAGGGCUCGCUAUGAUAACAUUAUUACUGAUUACUUCACUAACAAAGCCAAAACCUUCUAUUGCAGUUGUUAAAUAUGAAAGCUAUGGCAAUUAAUCAGCAUAUUGAAGGCAACAGUAGUCAAGUUUCACAAGAUUUAAGCCAGGAAGAAAAGCAAGACAUUAAAAUUCUGGGUAUUCAAAUCUUCUGAUAGAGCAAAACAUUUAAACAAAGUAUAGACGGAAUUUCACCUAUGUCAUUGGAAUUGCAUUGGAUAGACAGCCAAAUAACUGCAUGUUUAAAGGAGUGAAAUUAAAAUCAUUCAGUAUGUUAUUAUUAUUGACUAAAAGGCUUUAGGAAAGAUCCCUUCUGUGUAUCUUCUAUUCUUUGUCACCAGUUUCCAUACACUUACACCUGUACUUUCAGUGUUACAUUUUCUUCUCUUGAUCUUCUAGACAAGAGGAAUUAGUACUGAGAGAUCCUGCAGCAAAAAGCCUUUGAAGCUCACUUCUUAGAGGUAAGACAGAUUCCUGCCUCCCCAGAUGCUGCCUUUUAUUUGCCAAAGAUUGCUCUGUUCUGCAAGGCUUCACCUCAACACCACUGUAUGCCUAAUAUAGAUCUUGAACUUGCAGAUUAUUUUGAUACAAAUUAAAAACUAAAUUAUUUUAAUUAUGAAGGGGAUCGUUUUCUUUCAGUCACAGCUUUUAUUCAGUCAUCAGUUACUGCCAGUUUCCUUGUACAGGUCAAUGAACUGAUUGUAGUUUAUUUCAUGAAAGUAUUUUCUGCCAUUUCUGAAGAAGCAGCAGUUCCAACUCGCUAAGUUUUGGUAAAAGCUGGAGGUCUCCUUACCAAGCAUGACAGCAACACGCAUUGCUUUUUUUGCUCAUUCUAGGAAUUUAUGUUUUUCUUGUAAAUAGGUCAAUAUAUAUUCUUGGUAAAUAAUAAUUACAAUGAAAAACAGUUUUAGGGUCUGAUCUUGUAAAGCAGACACACUGAUGUUUCUAUUUUCUGCAUAUAUAUUUACUAUUUUCUGCAUUUAUCCUACUGUAAAAACUAGUAAUGGAGCAUUGUAUUUAAAAAUCUGGUUUCAGUGGGCAGUUGGGAGCAAGGAAUGAAAGGGAUAAGGGACAAAAUCAGAGAAGUGUGUAGUUCAGAACGACUGGUUUUGUUUUUGAUCCUACAAAGUUUGUGUGCCUUGUUUUAGAGGAAGAUCCAUGGAAGAUCCGUGGAAAAUAUUUUAAGCAACAGGUAGAACAGACAAGCACUUCCAGUCAUCGGGAGGGGGUGGACAGUACCCUCCAAGCCCAGCAACCAAAAGUUAAUGCAAUUACUAAGUAUCAAAUGUAGAGCAGAGAGACUAAUUUGAUCAGUGAGGCUGAAGGGAUAAUUCUUGGAGACAAAGCAAUGCAAUGCGGAAAUGCAGCCUAAUCAACUGCUUCAUCAAAAGAAAGAGGAAACAAUUUCCAAGCCUUAACUAAAAUCCCCAGUUGGUUCUUCAUCUUUCCAGGGUUCUGGUUUUUGCACUGCAGUGUUUGUUCCAUCUCGCAACAUUUGUUUGUCUGCUUCUGUUCUCUGUGCAAAACUGUUCUGUUGGCUCCUGGCUCCUUUAUCAAAUGAGCCUCCUCCUCCUUUCUUGCUUUUCACCAAUGAGCCUAAUCAUGAAAGAGUGCAUAGAAAAGGAAGUAUUUAUUAUAUUCAAUGCCCAAGCCUCCUUUCCAUAAUCAUGUGGAAUAGCGGUUGAAGAAGGAUAUCUAGGUCUGCCUUGUGGCUACAGGAUUUUUUGAAGCACACGUUUGUUCCAUCUGAUGGAAAGCAUCUGCUUGCUGAUCUCUGCUAAGCCUUCCGCAUAGCCAGGAACCUUACAGGUGCUGCUGUUACAACAGAUAAGAUGAGCUGGCAGAAAGGAAAGAAGGAACUUACAGAAGAAAGCACAGGAGAUGGGAAACACAACCGAAAAAAGCGGGAGCGAAUAUUUAAGAAAAGAUUUUCUGGACUGAGCCUCUUCUCUGGGUCUCCUAGGAACAAACCCCCUCAGGGAAGGAGUCAGAGCUUUGAAGACAAGAAGAGAUGCUUACACAGGAAAGGUUCCAAAAAGCUGAAGCCAGCACGGGAGGAAAUCUGUUCUUUAAGGCAACCACAUUCCGGAAAAAUGUGUCCAAAAUGUGAAAUCCUUGUCUGCCGAAAAUGUGAGACACUGCAUUCAGAAAGCAGCUUCAUUGCUCACAGCCUGCUCGAUCACUACGACAGAGGAGGACGGGGCAGCUCUACUGCAUUGAUUACAACAAGCCAGAAAGUAUGCAGAGGUGAUUAAAGAAUUACUGCGGGUGCCUUGUUGAUACCUGACUAUGUCCAAAAUGCCAAAGCUUGGAUCCAUUUAGGCUGAACCCUCAGUCUGAACAAUCCAUAUGCAGCAUCAGCAACUGCAGCUAUACUGCUGUUCAUACUUACCAUAGGUAGCAGAUACACAUCCACUCAUUUAACCAGUAUAAAGUCUGUAAGUAGGAACCAUAAGUGUCUCAGCUAUUAAGAACAUUUCAAACAGCUUCAAAGAGUUUUAUUUUUCCCCUCAAGGAAUCAAGAUUAUCACACUGAGCUGUGAAAGAGAAAGCAAGUAUCAAAUGCAGAACCAGCGGGUACAUUACAAUUGUUUGUAAUGUGUAGGUAUGUUUCAGUGUUACUUGUGGUCUGGAAUAUUAAACUUAUUUUCAAAUUAACUGGCAUGGGUAUGUAAUUUGAUGGGGGAAAGAGAGCUUCUAAAGGCCAUCCUGGCCACAAAAAUUGCAUUCAAAUUCCCUUCAAGCAUUCAGUGCUCAACUUACGACCCAGCACCUCUCCUUAAGAGAAGGAGUAACUCACAAAUAAAGUAUUUAAGCCUGUCUAUCGCAGCACUAGCACUCAAAGUUUAAGCUUAUUAGUGGAACCCCCACCUUAAGCUGUCUACAUCCAUUCCUUCACAGUGAUGAUCAGAAAGCUGACAAGCCAAUAUACAAUUCUGGGUGGUGGGUGGCUUUAAGGUCCAGCCAUACACAGAACUGUUUGUUUCUAUAGAAUUCAGCAAUGCAUGUUAAGUGUAGAAGUAACCUCUGGAGCAGAUGACCCCUGAGCCUAGCCAUGGGCCUCUCUUCCUCCUACGCCAACUGCCCCAACUCUAUAUGCAGGAUAUGUUCUUUGCUCUUUGGUAGGGAAUGGACUAAACAAACUUUGUCUCAGCAAGACAAAACAUCAAGGGUCCUUUUAUUCAGCCAAGCAAAAAGAACAUGGGGUGGAAAGUUUGGACCUCUGUUUAAUCACUCCUCUUCCUAAAUUAACAAGUCACUAGCCCAUAGGGGAAAGGAGUCUCUCUCUUUCUGUCUUCCCCACCUUCCCUUUAAGAGUUGCUCCAUUUUUAUUUCAAUCAAUGUUACGUACAGGGACUGGAAUCCACUUUGUUUUUCUUUACCUAGGGAGCACUGUAACCGUGCUGUCAUCCAUUCUAAUAUUGUUGGCUACUCGCCCUGCUGCCCCGUGGAAAACUGCUUUACAGGAGAAAUUCAUAGCCAUGGAAACAUCUUUCCCACACUCCUGAGCAACACUGCUCAGCGCCCUUUGUGAUAUGCUAGGUGAAGAUUCAAUGUUCCUUAUGCAGAGGAGGUAGAGAAACAACUUCGGGAGUUCGAAUGAGCUGCUCUGGCUGUGUUGUACAGUGGUCAUAUCACAUCAGAACAUGCAUCCAGAGGUUGCUCACUGAGCAAAGCUUCGAAGAUAAAUAGGAGUAAACCUCAGGCAGGAUUCACAAACAAGAACAAACCACUCCAGUUCCUCACUUCUCCCUGGAUUUCAGUGGAUAGAGGCACUCCCAGAAGAAAGAGCUGUAGAAUUCCAAGGCAAAAUAUUAGAUCUUACAUACAUCUUUGCACUACAAAGAGUUGUAAUCCCUCGGAAACCAUGUUUCCAUGGUGCUCGAUUGUUGCUUUCACUCAUUUGCUUCAUAAAAGCCAGAUGCUGCCUGGCAAAUCAGAAUUAACCUCUUAUGCUUCUCUGUGAUUGCUCUCCUUUAAAUUCUUAGUGUGUUAAAUCCUUCAAGGAUUUUCCAAAAGUAAGUCAUGCAACUACUUAAGGAAUAUAAAUUAAUCCCCAUCCCACUUCAUCAAGCAAACCCAGGGAAGACUUCAACAUAAUCACCUGAGGAAAAGCAAAGUGACAGUCUGAAAGGAUGAAGGACUGACUCAUCACAACAGCAUCAUUUAAAAUCUGAUCCAAUAUAGUAAAACCUAUUAAAACAGGUAAUGUAGUUGAGCUUUUAGACACAUGUUCUGGAAAUGACACAGCAGAUAACGUUGUAUCAGCAUCCGACUGGCAAAAUCUUCCCUUGUGGUUUACCGGAGGGCAGUCGGUGGUGCAGUUCCCCACAUAGGCUAAUCUGGCUGGAAAGGCAUCCACAUAAUAGUAGCACGCAAAUUCACCUCAUUAAAGAAAGCAAGCUUUCUUGUCUUCUCACUUGAUCAGCAGUAAAUGCUAUUUUGCCACAGCAUUUGAGGAACAGCUACUGAUAUGAGCAGGGUGACUGAAUUCCCUGGGAAGCACUGGCAGAAGCACGUACUCUCUUCAUCAGUCAGGAAGUCACACUCAAAGAGAACAACUACAAGAUUUGUAUUAUGCAUUGAGGUAAGAUGAGCAGCAUGGUACUCAGAUUUUCUCAGUAUUGUUAGCUGUUAAAAUUACUGCACUCUUCCUGGGUAAGCUACCAAAAUCUGCUUCAAAUAUCUGCUUGCAAUUGCAUAUUCCCAAGACCACAUUUAUUCCUUUUGCUCACUCAGACUUCAGCUAAAAAGUCCCCAGUGUCCUCAUGGGAAUGUUAGAAAAUACAGAUCUGCUGACUCCUCAGUCCUUGCACUAACUGAAAGUUAGCUGUGCUUCCCAACAGGAGAUCCACGUGGGCUACAGGUUAUGCAUGCUGUUCCCACAGAAGCUGUUAGAGGAAGCUUACAUAUCCAUGUAAUCUAAACAGUUUUCCUAUGGAAAGGCAAAGCUAGCUCUCUGAACUGACGUGGCAAAAAUAUGGAAGAUCAGCAGUUCCUAUGUCUGUGUAAAUCCCUUGAGAUUUUAUCUGUUAUGAUCUUCCUAUGAUUGAUUUGCAAAGAUAUUCCCAGUUGCAAGAAUACUUUCACUACUACACUCACAUGCUGACCAUAUCCACCAACAGUCAGCCACAGACAAACACAUCACAAGCAAAAGUUUUGCAAUGGAAAUAGUGGAGUAGUUAGUGUGGUAUUGUGGUCGGGAAUAAAAUAAUAGACAAGCGAAAUAAAAAUACCACUACCUUGAAAUUAGUCUGAUUCCCACCUAGUGAGCCAGUCUACAAAUAAUACAAAGCCAUAUGUAAACUGUUGCACUCCAACUGCAGUGCAGCACUUCCAACUCAUACAACAGCACCUGGUAAAGUGUGGUUUCCAUCAGGACAGCUCUACUUCCUUAUCUCUCAGCACUAAUACACCAAUUGUUUUUUUUCUUCUAAAUUUUAUAUGUUUUAAAAAUCUUGCCAGAAGCAGGAAUGCAUUAUGUGAACACAUAUCAUAUCAACGCAAUGUAUUUUGAAGGAAUAGUAAUAGAAUACUGACUACAUGCUUAAAAGAUUUAGGAUUGGAGUCAUUCCUAAGAAAUAAAAUCAUGAUCUUAGCCUUGAUCUUGAUGAAAUAAAAUCAUGAUCUUAAUUACUGAGAGCCCAUACAAUUUAAUUAUCUCAUUUCAAUAGCUUUAGGAAAUUAAAGAGGAAUACUGGACUGCACUAUAUCAAAUAGACAAGUAGGCUCUGUCAAAGGCAUUCACUAGAGUGCGAACAACUGAGCUAGCAUAUCAGUGCACCACUGUCACUUAAAACAGAAACAAGCAUAAAAGAAAAAGGAAGCAGUCGGUGAGGGAAAAAUCCAUGGGAGCACUUUGCUUGGAAAGCAAAUCUAAGACAAGCAGGAAUGUAAGAGCAGCAUUUGCCACCAUUUGUCACAAAUCACAGAAUACAACGUCAAGGUAAAUCAUACAAUCAAAAUAAAAACAGAAGUAAUAUAUACAGUACACACAGAGCACACACACAGUUUCAGCCAUUUCUGAAAGCAGUGCACAGGUAUCUUUCCCCUGCCAGUAACAAUGAAGGACUUGAGAAGCAGGGCUCAUUUGGAAACAGUCAUAUUCCUGGUGGAACUGUGUGGAUCAGAUUAGAAGUAGACUUGGAGAAAAGUACAUAAUAUAACAUGCAACCAUCUGCACUGAAGGUGUUUUAUACCAGAACUCACAGCUUAUGGUUAGCUUUUCAGCAGGUAUAUACAACUACAUCCCUUCCAAAGGCCUGGCUGACUUGUUCCCAGUCUCACAAGAAGCCCGUGGAGGAACUCGGAGCUCGCCAGCAUUGCUCCUUAUGGGUGUAACCAUACAAUCAUGCUCCCUCCUGAUAUCCGCACUGCUCAGCAGCCCCAAGAAGUCAAGAUGAAUGGGCCAACUGUAUCUCAAGUUCUGGGAAAAGGUGUGUGUCCCUCAACAUGACAUACCAGAGAUGUCUGAGUACUCCAUCUCGCAGACAAAUGUAAUGUCUAGGAAUUCUUGCUUAUACAAAUGUACAUGCUGUGAAUUAGCUGAGGAUGCAAUCACUUCUUUUAGUGCUGUCAGCUGCAGAGUAGUUUCUUUCUAACACUUCAGUCUGCUUCUACAACAUAAACAAACAAAUAACGACAAUGUGUUUGUUGCUUCUACAACAUUCUAGAAGCAGAGGUCAGCCCCAGGACUUAGGGCAAGAGAAUAAAAUCAGUACCUAAAAUGCUAUCCUGGCCCAAGAUAGGUCCCUAACCUUUAGAAGGCCCACACCAAAAAAACAGAACAAUGAAACAAACAAACAAGCAAACAACAACAGCAAAACAACAACAACAAAAAAAAAAAACACCCACUCUCAACAAAGUAAAACCACCUUUAAUUAAAUUCCUACGUAAAACAUUUCUAUGUAAAACAACAAUUUAGCCAAAAAUUAAAUAUAUGUUUUAAUUCUCUUUCAAAUGUCAACAAGAAUUGAGAGCUACCAGUGUUCUUUGGAGAACAAGCAGUAGUUAAAGUCUAUCUUGCUGAUGUUCAGAAACAGUAUGUUACAUCUUUUAACCAGCAGUUCCUAUUGCACGUCACAGAUUUGCUCUCCAUUUAAGCACCUAAAGGCCUGGUACCUCACUAAAUAAAUUAAAACAAAUCCAGUUUCUUCAGCAAACAUCUUCAACACAGAUCUCUUGGUAAAGCGACAUUACUGCAAGCUUUUAAUAAAUACAGAAAAGAUUAAUGACUUCUCAUUGGUGUUCUACGGAAUGGUCUUCUCCCAUAAACUCACUUUCCAAAAAAAUUGGUUUCUUUUGGUAUUUAUGCUCUAAAAAACACUGUGUGUGAUACGUAUGAACAUUUUCCAUCCACGCUUAUAAGACAGCACAUUUGCAUGGCAGAAGUCAUCUGACAUAAGGGUUUCAAUGAAGGGCUGCAAGGAGCUUCUUGUUGAAGCAGAACUAAAGGCAUCUCCUAAGGAGUAGAAAAGCCCCAGGAGCUGAAUGGGAGACUGUUAUCAAGGGGGGGGUUCAGACAUUUUUGAAAUUAGCCUUUCCUCUUUCUGAAAGACUUCUUUGUGUGUCCUAUAUCAGAACAACAAAACCGUGCAACCAUGACUAUCCGGAUGCUGC